UGAAGAGACAGACGAAUGGUUCUCCGUCUUCCACACUGAGGCUUAGAGGAGAAUGGCUUCAUCUUUGAGUCUGUGUGUGUGAGCACACGGAUUGCUUGAGAGUAACCAGAUCCAUAAGGAUGUUCAAAAGAAAGCUUGUAUUGUCCUAUGUCUUGAAGUUCCACGACUGGAGCCCCCUCCCUGGCUUCAAUUUUGGUGCGGUCUCUGCAAAGGAGUCCUGGUUCCAGGCCAUCUGCCAAUUUGCAGGAGCUCCAGCCUCUUCUGAGUUACCGUUUUCUGAUCAAAUCAGACAAGAAGCAUAUGUGAAAUAGUGUGGAGGUGCUGCUGUCUGGUGGCUCAACCCUUGGUAGCUUGCUCAACACUUUGGUGGCUGCAGUUUGAGGAAGGCAUUAUGGAGCUAUCCUAGAAUCAGCACCUCACAUUGGGGACCUGAAACUGAGAGUCACAAGUUGGUCAGUCAUGUGCCCCGGGGCCUCUAUGCCACUGGAACGGAGCCCACUGCACCGUACUCUUCUAUAUUGCUUUUACUAACUAGUUUCUUCAGUAGAACAAAGCUGAAGACUCUAGAUAAACUGAUACAAUUGGGGAUGACAGACCUGUGCAUGUGGGUUGUUGGAUAAACAGAGAAAUAGAGUCAUAGCAACCUGGGUUCUGUGAUGAGACUGUCACCUCUGAGCCAUGCUGAGUAAGAGGAGACUUUCAGAAUACGGACACGAAGGUCUCAAUGGAAUUAAGGAUGACCCAUUUUACUGAUGAGAAAACUGAGACCAAAUUUUAGUUGACUGCAGUAUGCAUAGAUUGGGUGUGUAACACGCAUUGCUUCUCAUACUGACAGAUCCAGAUACACAGGUCAUUGAUGCCUGAUAUGUGAGGCAUCAAUGUGAUAAUCUCUCUGGGGAAAUACAAAACACGGUUUUUGAAAUGGAAUCUAUAAUAAAAUAUCACCAAUGCAAAUUGACCUAGGCUCAUAAAAUAGGGUAGAAAGUUUGACAUUUCAGAGUCAUGUCCAGGAUAUCCAAAACAAAAACAAAAACAAAAACAAAAACAAAAACAAAACAAAAACAAAAAAGCAAAACCAAAACCAAACCAAAAACAGAAGCUGUUAACUAGAGAGUCAGGCCCACUUCACCAAUUUUAAGACGCUACAUUGAGUUUUCUUACUAAUGUAUAGACUGUCAUGCUUUAGUUUAUGUGACACUAAAACAUUGGAUGGAAGGUGGAAAUUUAGCUGUCUUCAAUAAUCUACCUUCCCUAAAUAGGCUGUUAAAAGUCAUCAGAGUGACCCUUUGGAGAGAGAAUCCAUUAAUUGGUCUGUAUGAAAUAGUCUGGAUCUCCCUUUAAUCUCCCUUUAGCCUGUCUUUCCAGUAAGUAUGAAUUCAAAAACAAGUAUUCAUAACAAAACCUUGUAAAAACUCCAAAAGCAUAUUUUUAAAAACACAAUCAAAGCAGUUGAAUAUUAUUGUCAAGGAAUUAUCUACAACAAACAGAAGAUUAACCAUUGUAAUCCCCACAAUUACUUUAUUCAUGGUAAAUUUCCUUAAUUCUAAAAUAAAUUUGUUUAUUAUCUCUGAAUAUAGAAUGUUUAAAAUCAUUUCUCCCUGAUUAAAUGCUAAGUUAUUGAGUUAA
Canis lupus familiaris (dog) is the source of this 1626-nucleotide long non-coding RNA. RefSeq lists it as uncharacterized. The transcript has 7 exons. NCBI's taxonomy places the organism in Eukaryota, Metazoa, Chordata, Mammalia, Carnivora, Canidae. The record is from RefSeq and is a predicted model, not a curated record.